Anguilla rostrata (American eel) is the source of this 3750-nucleotide long non-coding RNA. RefSeq lists it as uncharacterized. Lineage: Eukaryota; Metazoa; Chordata; Actinopteri; Anguilliformes; Anguillidae. The record is from RefSeq and is a predicted model, not a curated record. The transcript has 2 exons.
AGAAUAUAAUACAAAAAAGUCACAUGCCAGCAAAAAAUGCCACUCAAUUGAGUUUAUUGCAAAAUGUGCCCACUUGUUCACAGGUCAUACAUUAAAAAUUUAAAUAAAAAUAAAUACCCCACUAUUCAUGGGAAAGUGCAAGGCAUGUCAGCUUUGGUUUUGUAUAUAAUGUCCAUCCGUCAGACACCUGCCUUCCAGAAACUAGAGUCCAGGUGGGGGUAUUGCACCAAGCAGGAUUACUCCGUUAGCCAGGUAACUUCUAAUAUAAAAUAGCAUGACAUUUACAGUGGUCCACAGAAUUACCCUCUAUAUCGCCAGAUCAACUUUAAAUAAAAUUGUAUGCUGUUACAAUAUUAACCUUUGGUGGCAAUAGAACAGCAAGCCAACCUCAUCCUAGCCAGACCUUCAUUUGAAUGAUUCUGGCUAAGCUAUUCAUAGUAUUGGAUUGAUUGCAGACACCUUAGUCAGCAAACACAGGUGAUUGUAAUCAAAUAGUAGGUGAUUAUUAUGAAAUUGCCUUGCGCCAUAUUGUAUGGGCGGCAAAAUAAAUCAUGAGAACAGUAUGACUAGGUCAGCUAACGUUAGCUAAUGUUUGCUUUAUGUCAGCAAACCUGACGUUAGCUGGUUUUUGAUAGAAUAUAAUUGUUGUCAGACGAAUUAACGCUACAGACUUUAUUUAAUUAGACUAACGUUAACGUUCACUGAAUUAAAUCACUUGCCUGUAUGCAACAUCACAAUGUGGCUAACUUAUCUAAACUUUGCUAAAUUGGCUAGCAAAGUCAAUGUUAAUACACUCAACUUCAUAUGUGUUCUUAGAUUUGAACAUCUUUGCAGUAGAGAGUGUAUAUACUCUCGGCUUGCAUAGCUCACAAGUAAAAACUUACGUUUUGUCGGUGGAGCUAGUCAGUGUCAUGUAUUUGCUUAAGUAUGGCCAUGGUGAUUCUUCCUCAGGCUGAGAUUUGGGAGGUUUAUCCAUGAUGGCGCUGUCGCUGUGUGAGCACUGAGCAACGCCCGUCCUUUUGUACAUGCACUACACAAAGGUCAAGUAUGUGGUGGUGGCUGCCUAAUGAAUGCAUUGUCUGGGCAUGCCUUCACAGCGGUCAGGAUGAAAGAAAAAGGGGGCGGGGCUGGUCAAAGGCAGUUCAAUUACAGUAGAAAAGCAAUGGUAAAAUAAAAUUUAAAAAAGCAUUCCUUUCCUUUUAUGGCCCAAAAUUGUUUGUAGUUUCAAUAGUUAACUACACAAAUAAUGGCAAAAAAAAGUAAUUUAACUACUUGAGAUCACUAUAUGCAAAUAUGAAUGUAGUUGAACUACCAGCACACUACUGCAAAAUGUAGUUAAACUACUAGUUUAAUUACAUGUAGUUCACUACUCCCCAACACUGGGGAGCGGGUCCUCUUCCACAGAGGCCACCAUGUUGCACCGCCAUGUUUCUACAGUAGCCCAAAAUGGACAAACGGCUCUAGAGGGGGCCCGGGUUUCUCUUCAUCAGGCACAAAUCUUCCGUCUCACGCUUACCAGGUGUGAGACGAGGGGUGUGUGGGGUGUGAUUGGAGCAGGUGUCUCUCUUUUCUAUUCUCCUUUUCUCUCUCUGUCUCCCGCUCCUCUGAAGGUCUGGUGGAAAAGCGCAGUACCAGUGGCUUGACCACCGCUGUGUUUGACCAGCGGACCAGGCCGGACCCGACAGCGUUUGGGGGGGAAACAGGUACCAGUGGCGUGACCGCGACCUGCCGAACCCCCCCACUGACAGAAGAAAGAAUGACUAAACUAGAUCUCGGUGUGGUGUGUUGUCGCAAGAACACAUGGAAAUGGAAGAAAACGAUCGGCAGCAGAAGGCGGCAUAUACUCAGACAAGUGCUGGUAACGUUUGCGGAAACACCGCUUAAAAAACGAAAAUAAUCUGGACAAGACGGGGACGACAUGGUCUGUCUCUCCUUUUGACAAACGUCAUUAUGUCUAGUUUUUUAAAAUUUUUAGUAUUUUACCCCAGAACAAGUGCAGGAGCAACAGCAAUCAUCUGUUUGCCUAUCUGAGCUUAUCUUUCGGUAUUGCGCAUUUGUAAAAAUUAGCAGCACACUUGGAAAUCAAAAGACCUAGUUUUUUAUUAUUAUUUUUUAAAGUUCCGCAAUAGAUCAAUUGUACAAUAAAAUUGUUGUGUUCCUUUCUAUUUUGGUGUGGUAGAAAGAUCACAAUCUGCAACUCCAUCCAACAAUAUUCAUGUGAAAACUAACAAAUUGUCAUUACUUGUGGAUGUCGGUUCUAUUAAGAUGUAAUACAAUGUGUGACCAGUGUGACAAAGUAUACAUAGUAUGGUAGUAGAAUCCAGGCCCUGCAAUCCUGGACUUUUUUUUUUUUUUUGCUGUUUACAAUUUGAUUUCUUAGUGUAUAUUUUUGCAUAUUUCAGACAGCUUCCAUUCAGUGUCAGUGGCUUCAUGCUAUGUGCUAACUUUCUCUAACUUAACUCACUUUUUUGUUUGUAAAAUAGAUGGGUCAAAAAAAACUGGAAAUAUACUCUUUAAGAAUCACCAUCCUGCAUCCAGUAUAAAAAUCCACCUCUCUCCCUGACAGCGUGGUUAUGCUGUGUGUACUGGACUGAACAUUCAGUGCUGUGUGUCUGAAUCGCCCCCGUGCAGGACUGUAUGAUGUCAUACAGAGGGACCGCAGGAGUUCCGCUGCUGGAUGUGUUAUGGUGGGAGGAAGCAGGGUGUUGACAGCCUCUCCUGAGGUGAGGUCACAGGGGUCAUAGGGUCACCAACACACCUCCACUGCCUGAUCGCGGCUUCCUGUUAGGGGGAGGAACACCGUUCCGCCACACAUAUCCCUUCCCCAGGGAAACACGAGCUCUCUGUCUCACGCACACACAUACACACAGACACAAAGACACACACAAAAACACAAUAUAUCCCCAGGUCCACAUAGAUAUGCUUUUGCUGUGAUUGGUGUGGGAGGACUUGACUGGCUUGCACAGAGCCCUGACCUCGACCCCGUCCCACACAUUUGGGAUGAAUUGGAAAUAUAUCAACUGCAGAGGUCUUCCUUGACUUGCCAGGCCCUGUGCGAUGGCUGAGCUAGUGUUUGUCUGCGGCAGGACUCCUCUGAGAAAGACCUCGGCCUCAGUAGGACCACCCUGCAUAAACAAGGGUUAAAUAAAAAACAGAGCUCCUUUCUUCUUAAUGAUGUUCCAAAUAGUUGAUUUUGGUUAGGCUAUGAUUUGGCCUCUGUCUUUGACUUUUUUCUAAUUUCUCAGACUCAUAAUGGCUUCCUUGACUUUCAUUGCCACAGCUCUGGUCAAAAGAUACUGAAUACUGAAAGCUCUCUUAUGCCCUAAGGAAGCAAUUGAACGCACCUGACUCUUCAGGAAAAACCUGUGAAGCUACUUGUCUCAAACCUUAUGGUGCUCUGAAAUGGAGGGCUAUAUAUAAAAAGUGCUGUAUUUUCCAACCAAACCAGAAUGUAUAAAAAAAUAUCCUUUAAUAAAUGCUGAGAAUUGGCACAGCACAUGUGAAUUGUUUGAUUACACACAUAAAAUUGUGGAGCACAGAGCCAAAUUAAGAAAAAAAUAUGUCUUUGUCUUAAACAUUAUAGAGCUCACUCUAUAAUAUCUAAUAUUCUUGUUCUUUAUUUUCUCUGACCAAAGUUGAUAAUCUUUCAAAGGAGAAUUUUACCCAUUUUCUGUUUGUAGCAUGAAUGCAAUGGUGUAUACAUAUUUCUUGCAGAUAUGUGACAUAUUAAAGCUAAAAUGAAUGAAAAGA